GGGACUGAAGUAUGCCAAUAUGGCCAGCUUUCAAGAAAUCACCCCUUGGCGCUCUCCCUGUGGUGAAGCCGAGGGGUCCCCCGCAUUGCACUGUGGGAGAAGCCCCCCUCAGCCCCGGACCACCCUUCAGAUGUUUUCAGUCUGGCUUGAUGUUGGAAUUCAUCAUCGCUGCUGUAGCACAGAGGAGCCGGUUUACAGCAGCCCGAGGACGGCCUGGUGUUUGCUGGAUAACUGUGGGCGUGUGAGAGACCAUGUUUGCCAGGAGUCUUCAGAGCAAAGGAAAAAGCAGGUGGGUGCAGCUCGUAGCUUUUGCACAGAGGUCACACACACACACACACCAACACCUGUUCAGUGCUGCAGGGCAUUUGUACAGGGAGCUGCUAGCAGGGGACUGUUAGUGUACACACCAGGUGUACACAAAAGAUGUUCUAAACAGACAAUAGUUUUCAGCCCUAUUUCAACAUGAAGUUAACCUAGGACCUGCUGCUUCGUGUCCUCGUGUCCUCGUUGUUUAUGUCCCUCAAAUAAGUCACAGUUAUUUACGAGCUGUUUAUCUCAGACAUCUGUUGCUCGAGUGUGACAGGACAGAUAUGGAUGGAUUUCUAAUGGCUACAGCUGUACAUCAUAUUUCACCGCAGCUCAAAGUGACCUCCUGUCUGUCAUUUGUUACCUUCAUGCAUAAUGUGACAUAAAAAAUUUGAAGCCCUUUGAAAUGA
Platichthys flesus (European flounder) is the source of this 716-nucleotide long non-coding RNA. RefSeq lists it as uncharacterized. NCBI's taxonomy places the organism in Eukaryota, Metazoa, Chordata, Actinopteri, Pleuronectiformes, Pleuronectidae. The transcript has 3 exons. The record is from RefSeq and is a predicted model, not a curated record.